GUAUUUUUUCCGAAUGCGUUUUGUCUCCAUAAGCAUGAUAAGGUAAAUGGGGUUAAAUCAUCAAUAAUUAUUUCACUUUGAUUUCAGGCUUAUUCCUCACAGUUAACAUCUAAUUAAACAUGUACACGCUAUUGUUCUGGAAUCACUCCUGUAUACAUUUGUUUAAAGCAAUCACAUUCUCUCAGGUUUACUCUAUGACAUCUUUAAAUAUAAAUCACGAU
Molecule: long non-coding RNA, 221 nt
Filed under: Mytilus galloprovincialis (Mediterranean mussel)
Lineage: Eukaryota; Metazoa; Mollusca; Bivalvia; Mytilida; Mytilidae
Source: RNAcentral